AUUUUUUUUAUUAAUAAGGAGAGUUUGGUGGCAGUGGGUUUAAGGAAAGUUAUUUGUUGAGUGGUUUUCACUUUUCAGGGGGUUUUUGGUUGAUCAGACAAAAGGGGUUUUUAGGUCUGCAUACUCAAGCUAGCCAGCUUGUUUUAUUUAAUGAGUUCCUCUUUUUGUAAUGAAUGCAUGAGAUAUGGUGUUGCAGAGGAGGUUGGGUUAUGGUUUCAGUGGCUAUGAGGUGCCUGUGGUUCCUCGUGCAUCUAGAUCAGCUAGGGGGAGGGUACCAGUUAGGAAGAAGUAUGAGGACAAUGCGGUACGCGCUUUUGAAAUUUUGGCUAGUGUAGCUGGUGAAUUAUUGCAAGAGACUGGAAGUUCUGCUCCUAAAGCUGCUUGUGGCGAGGUUCAGAAAAAUAUUGAUGAAUGUAUUGUGGAAUGGGAACAACAAGAUGGAGAUAAAUGUUUAAAGGCAAACCUACACGAGCUAGGAACUUGUGCGGAGAAUACUUUUAUCCAUGUUCCUGGACUGCAAGGGCCCCAUCAAAGCUAUUCAGCAAAUGAGUUUUCACAUUCUCCAGGAAAUUUCACUUUGAAAAUUAACUCAAGGUCAAAAAUCUUUGAUCAGUCGGAGAAAAAUUGUUUUUCUGAACACUGGCCCCAUUUUAAUGACAGUAAUGCAAGCAGAAGCCGUUCUGGCAUUGUAGGUCAAGUCUCCCCCCAUUUCAGGAAAAUUUUCAGAGGCCAUGUGGAUAGUGAAAUUGAAACGAAGUGUGAAGGAAAACUAUCCAUUGCUCAAAAUAGACAGGCAGACAAGGUCUGUUCUGCUCAACAGUGGUCAUACUUCAGCAAAAGGAGUGCAAGUCGGGGUCCUUUUGGCAAAUUAGGUGAAGAUGCCUCGAGAGGAAGUAAACCUCCUUCACUGGGCAGUCCUGAAAGUAAUUUAAGGGCAUCUUUGUUUAUGGGCUGUACAACUUUUGGACCUUUUUCUGGGAGCUGUGCUGAUUUACAAGUAGAUACGAGAGAUGAUGAAGAAACUUCUCUUGGGUACACUCAAUUUGGUAAGAUUGUGACAGCCUGUAAGCCCUUAGCUACUGUUGUAGAUCAAAGAGUGAGGAAUCUAUCUGCAGCCAGACAUUGGAGAGUAGCUCCAAAGUUGAAAGGGGGAGCUUAUUCUAAAACUGAUUGGAAAAGGAAACAGGUUUACUACUAUGGUAAACCUUGUUAUACACGUCAAAGAUCUCAAAGGAUUUCUCCUUUCAAGAGGAGAAAGUUGUUUGAUCAAAUCCCUACUUCCAGAUAUGGAGAGUUUCAACGUGAAGGCAUUUAUAAUUCUCCUUACAAGAGAAGCAAUGUUGACAAGCGUUUUGCAGCAAAAGGGGCAUCACCCUCAGUAGCAUCUCAACAAGCACCUCCCAAGUCUAAGUCUAGAGAUAGUAUUGUGAAACUUCAUAUCAAAUCUUUCAAGAUUCCAGAACUUUUUAUUGAGAUUCCUGCAACUGCAACUGUUGGUUCACUGAAGAGAACGGUCAUGGAGGCAGCAACGGCAAUUCUUGGAGAUGAUCUACAUGUUGGUAUCCUUCUUCAGGGAAAGACAGUAAGAGAUGACAGUAAAACUCUACUUCAGACUGGGAUAUGUCAUGAUGGCAGACAUUGUAAUUUAGGUUUUAUGUUGGAGCCCAAAAGUGCACAAAUUAUGCCGCCUUUGCACACUGAUGACUCUCGCUUGUUAUCUAGUGGCAUGCCUCAGGAUCCAACUGGGCAUUCAGUGUCAUUGACUCCACAACCGGAGCCUUCUGAUGUCUCUCCACUACCUCCAGUGAUGAAUAUGGGUUGUCAUGUUGACAAUAACGUUAAUGCUCUUUGUUCUCUUGCUGAUAUUUCAACCAACAAUACCAUGCCAGAUUCCCAAGCUCUAGUUGCAGUACCAGCAAUUACUAUGGAGGCAUUGGCCGUGGUUCCAUUUCAUCAAAAAUCUAGGCAUUCUGAGUUUUUGCAGCGCCGGACUAGAAGACCUUUCUCUGUUUCAGAAGUAGAAGCACUAGUUCAGGCAGUUGAGAAACUUGGAACUGGAAGGUGGCGUGAUGUUAAGUUACGUGCUUUUGACAAUGCAAAACAUCGUACUUAUGUUGAUUUGAAGGAUAAGUGGAAGACAUUGGUGCACACGGCAAGAAUUUCGCCCCAACAAAGGAGAGGAGAACCUUUACCACAGCAGCUCUUAGACAGGGUCCUCGCCGCCCGCGCCUACUGGUCCCAACACCAGGCCUAUCAACAGUUGAAAAUACCAGUUUAAGGCUUUGCCUUGUUCAUGGGUGUAUAGUAAAGCUGCCCCACCUGUGGUGAUGAGCAAUAAUUCUGACUGACAAUUGAAACGGUGCAAUGCAUUUGUCCAAGAAUUCGGAUACGAUUUUUCUUAAUAUUCUUCAUGGUCAUUGGUUUCUAUCUAUAACAAGUGCGCACGAUGGAGAUCUAAGGUGGUAUUCACAUUCUGCUGCAUCAGUCAAAGCAUAAUAUCAAAAACAAUAAAGUAUUAUAUAUAUAAUAGAUCUGCCGACCCAAAAUCAUGAAAAGGAUUCUGCAGCAGCUUUUAUGUCUCCAUAACAUUGGACGAAAAUGAAUAUUUUUAUAUUUAUGCUGUGGAAGCAUGUGGAGAAACUUAUAAUGUUAUUGUUAGUCGUUGCAGUUGCAGUUGCAGUUGCAGGUGGUGGCCUCCUGUGAUCUUCUUCUCAAAUCUCAACCCUUUUUCUUUUUCUUCUUCUGCUGUUUAACGGGUUUUCAACUAUUUCUCCCUCAAGGUUAGGGGAAAAUGUAACGCACUUAUAGGGCGUUUGGUUUAGGAAUGUUAGAUUACUAGAAAUAUUAGAUUACUGAAAAGAUAGAUUACCUUGGAAGAUUACU
Molecule: RNA transcript, 2883 nt
Organism: Pistacia vera
Lineage: Eukaryota; Viridiplantae; Streptophyta; Magnoliopsida; Sapindales; Anacardiaceae
Gene name: telomere repeat-binding protein 5-like
Exons: 11
Source: RefSeq, a predicted model, not a curated record